RNAcentral lists this ribosomal RNA (774 nucleotides) under Xenoacremonium brunneosporum. RNAcentral describes it as "partial large subunit ribosomal RNA". It matches the Rfam family "Eukaryotic large subunit ribosomal RNA", at positions 132 to 935 of the family's 3401-position model. Lineage: Eukaryota; Fungi; Ascomycota; Sordariomycetes; Hypocreales; Nectriaceae. The record is from RNAcentral.
UCGGGUCCGAGUUGUAAUUUGUAGAGGAUGCUUUUGGUGCGGUGCCUUCCGAGUUCCCUGGAACGGGACGCCAUAGAGGGUGAGAGCCCCGUCUGGUUGGAUACCAAUCCUCUGUAAAGCUCCUUCGACGAGUCGAGUAGUUUGGGAAUGCUGCUCUAAAUGGGAGGUAUAUGUCUUCUAAAGCUAAAUACCGGCCAGAGACCGAUAGCGCACAAGUAGAGUGAUCGAAAGAUGAAAAGCACUUUGAAAAGAGGGUUAAACAGUACGUGAAAUUGUUGAAAGGGAAGCGCUUGUGACCAGACUUGGGCAUGGUUAAUCAUCCAGCGUUCUCGCUGGUGCACUUGGCCUGCCCAGGCCAGCAUCAGUUCGGUGCGGGGGAUAAAGGCUUCGGGAAUGUGGCUCCUCCGGGAGUGUUAUAGCCCGUUGUGCAAUACCCUGCGCUGGACUGAGGUUCGCGCAUCUGCAUGGAUGCUGGCGUAAUGGUCAUCAGCGACCCGUCUUGAAACACGGACCAAGGAGUCGUCCUCGUAUGCGAGUGUUCGGGUGUUAAACCCCUACGCGUAAUGAAAGUGAACGCAGGUGAGAGCUUCGGCGCAUCAUCGACCGAUCCUGAUGUUCUCGGAUGGAUUUGAGUAAGAGCAUACGGGGCCGGACCCGAAAGAAGGUGAACUAUGCCUGUAUAGGGUGAAGCCAGAGGAAACUCUGGUGGAGGCUCGCAGCGGUUCUGACGUGCAAAUCGAUCGUCAAAUAUGGGCAUGGGGGCGAAAGACUAAU